RNAcentral lists this transfer RNA (72 nucleotides) under Chloroflexota bacterium. Its description in RNAcentral is "Chloroflexi bacterium (groundwater metagenome) tRNA-Arg". It matches the Rfam family "tRNA". From Rfam's summary of the family: Transfer RNA (tRNA) molecules are approximately 80 nucleotides in length. Their secondary structure includes four short double-helical elements and three loops (D, anti-codon, and T loops). Lineage: Bacteria; Bacillati; Chloroflexota. The record is from RNAcentral.
GCCCCCGUAGCUCAGUGGAUAGAGCAGCGGCCUCCGGAGCCGUGCGCGCACGUUCGAGUCGUGUCGGGGGCA